AACGCUAGCGGCAGGCCUAACACAUGCAAGUCGAGGGGUAAUGUUCAGCUUGCUGAAUACACGACCGGCGCACGGGUGAGUAACACGUAUGCAACCUACCUCUAACUGGAGGAUAGCCCGAAGAAAUUCGGAUUAAUAUUCCAUAAAGUCAAUUUAAGGCAUCUUUUAUUGAUUAAAGCUCCGGCGGUUAGAGAUGGGCAUGCGUGUCAUUAGCUAGUUGGUGAGGUAACGGCUCACCAAGGCCACGAUGACUAGGGGGUCUGAGAGGAUGAUCCCCCACACUGGUACUGAGACACGGACCAGACUCCUACGGGAGGCAGCAGUGAGGAAUAUUGGGCAAUGGACGCAAGUCUGACCCAGCCAUGCCGCGUGCAGGAUGACUGCCCUAUGGGUUGUAAACUGCUUUUGUUUGGGAAGAAACCCCCGAUCGUGAUCGGGGCUGACGGUACCAUACGAAUAAGCAUCGGCUAACUCCGUGCCAGCAGCCGCGGUAAUACGGAGGAUGCAAGCGUUAUCCGGAUUCAUUGGGUUUAAAGGGUGCGCAGGCGGAAUAUUAAGUCAGUGGUGAAAUCCUGCAGCUUAACUGUAGAACUGCCAUUGAUACUGAUAUUCUUGAAUAUAGUUGAGGUAGGCGGAAUGUGUAAUGUAGCGGUGAAAUGCUUAGAUAUUACACAGAACACCAAUUGCGAAGGCAGCUCACUAAACUAAUAUUGACGCUGAGGCACGAAAGCGUGGGUAGCAAACAGGAUUAGAUACCCUGGUAGUCCACGCUGUAAACUAUGAUCACUCGCUGUUGGCAAUACAUCGUCAGCGGCUGAGCGAAAGCAUUAAGUGAUCCACCUGGGGAGUACGGUCGCAAGAUUGAAACUCAAAGGAAUUGACGGGGGCCCGCACAAGCGGAGGAACAUGUGGUUUAAUUCGAUGAUACGCGAGGAACCUUACCUGGGCUUAAAUGCAGAGCGACGUCCGCCGAAAGGUGGAUUCCUUCGGGCGAUCUGCAAGGUGCUGCAUGGUUGUCGUCAGCUCGUGCCGUGAGGUGUCGGGUUAAGUCCCAUAACGAGCGCAACCCUUAUCGUUAGUUGCCAGCGGGUAAUGCCGGGGACUCUAACGAAACUGCCGGUGUAAACCGUGAGGAAGGUGGGGAUGACGUCAAAUCAGCACGGCCCUUAUGUUCCAGGGUUAAACACGUGUUACAAUGGUCGGUACAGAGGGCAGCUACCACGCGAGUGGAUGCUAAUCUCGAAAACCGGUCUCAGUUCGGAUUGAAGUCUGCAACUCGACUUCAUGAAGCUGGAUUCGCUAGUAAUCGCGCAUCAGCCAUGGCGCGGUGAUACGUUCCCGGGCAUUGUACACACCGCCCGUCAAGCCAUGGAAGCUUGGGGUACCUGAGUCCGUAACCGCAAGGACGGCAUAGGGUAAGACAAGUGACUGGGGCUAAGUCG
This 1442-nucleotide ribosomal RNA is filed under the name uncultured organism. RNAcentral's name for it is "bacterial SSU rRNA". It matches the Rfam family "Bacterial small subunit ribosomal RNA". The record is from RNAcentral.